Molecule: small RNA, 74 nt
Filed under: Pedobacter terrae
Lineage: Bacteria; Pseudomonadati; Bacteroidota; Sphingobacteriia; Sphingobacteriales; Sphingobacteriaceae
Description: Flavo-1 RNA
Rfam family: Flavo-1 RNA
Source: RNAcentral
AAAUAGCCCUGAUUGAAGUGGAAGCCCGCAAGCGAAGCAUGAGCACGGACUUGUAACGGAAAGCAGGACUAAAA